CGUAGCUCAGUUGGAUAGAGUAUCUGGCUACGAACCAGAGGGUCGGGCGUUCGAAUCGCUCCG
RNAcentral lists this transfer RNA (63 nucleotides) under Neisseria meningitidis. RNAcentral's name for it is "tRNA-Arg". It matches the Rfam family "tRNA", at positions 6 to 65 of the family's 71-position model. From Rfam's summary of the family: Transfer RNA (tRNA) molecules are approximately 80 nucleotides in length. Their secondary structure includes four short double-helical elements and three loops (D, anti-codon, and T loops). The record is from RNAcentral. Lineage: Bacteria; Pseudomonadati; Pseudomonadota; Betaproteobacteria; Neisseriales; Neisseriaceae. RNAcentral also lists the same sequence under 1 other name.